GGUGGUGGCGGGGGGAUGAUUUCUCUUUGCCGGCUUCUUGGGUUUUCUCCUCGUCUCCCCAGCCUGGGCCAGUACCCCAGGGUGACCUGACCCCGAAGCCCCAGCACCCCAGCCGCAGACCCCCCACCCUGAAAAACCUUAGCUCGCCUCGGCCCUGACCAUCACCCCUGUACAUCCCUCUUCCCUCGUAACCUCUCCAGCACCGGCGGCGAUAAACUGAGGGCCGAGGGACACCCCACCCUCCUCGGGCUGCUGCCCCCAGGGGCAAAGCCUCGGGAAGACUGGCCGGAAAAAAAAAAAUCAAGAACAACACCCCCUUUUCCUGCGGGAAGGGCCCCAGACUCGUGCGAAAGGGCCCCGACUGCCGAGGAGCCCCUCCCGCCCUUGCCUCAUCUUUCCGACUUCCCUGCUUGCCACGUCUCCUUUCCUUCCCAGCAAGGAGCCGAGUGUGGAACCCUCAUCCAUUUCCAGCUGACAGCAGAGCCUAGCCUAUGUGUCUGUGCACAUGAGUGCCUGUGGGACCGGAGGCAUCAGAUCCCCUGGAGCUGUGGUACAGGCUGUUGUGAAGCUACCUGACCUGGGUGCUGAGAAUCAAAUCUUCGUCCUCUGCAAGGACGGGUAAGCUGAAGAGCUGGGCCGAGUGGCAGAGUACACGGAAGCAUAACUGUCCUUCUGAGCUUUGGUCUGGCCUCCCUUGCCGUUAUCGAAACACCCAUGGCCUAGCGCAUGGCUCUUAGUGGCCUGUCUAGAGAGCUUUGCCGAAUGUGCGGAUCAUGGGCUCUGGUCUGCCAUGCCUGUCCCCUAGGUUCUGAGUCAUUUCCUGUGAGAUUGUUCUAAAAGAAAAAAAAAAAAAAAAUAGACA
Meriones unguiculatus (Mongolian gerbil) is the source of this 862-nucleotide long non-coding RNA. RefSeq lists it as uncharacterized. The transcript has 4 exons. The record is from RefSeq and is a predicted model, not a curated record. Lineage: Eukaryota; Metazoa; Chordata; Mammalia; Rodentia; Muridae.